ACAUGUCUUUUUGAGGAGAAUUUAAAGUCGGGCCUGCCCACUGAUAAAUUGAAGGGCCGCGGUAUUUUGACCGUGCAAAGGUAGCAUAAUCAUUAGUCUUUUAAUUGAAGGCUAGAAUGAAUGGUUUGACGAAGUAUGGACUGUCUCUAUAUAAAAUAGUAGAAUUUAACUUUUAAGUCAAAAGGCUUAAAUAAGAAUAAAGGACGAGAAGACCCUAUAGAGUUUUAUAUAAGUGGUUAAUAAUAUUUAUUUGGUAGUAGUAAAUUUUAUUAAUUGUUUAUAUUAUGUUGGGGUGACAUAAAGAUAUACGAAACUCUUUAUAUUUAAAGACAUAGAUUUAUGGGUAGUUGAUCCAUUAAUAGUGAUUAUAAGAUAAAAUUACCUUAGGGAUAACAGCGUAAUUUUUCUUGAGAGUUCUUAUCGAAAGAAAAGUUUGCGACCUCGAUGUUGGAUUAAGAAAAUGGUUUGGUGUAGCAGCUGAAUUAAUAAGUCUGUUCGACUUUUAAAAUCUUAC
RNAcentral lists this ribosomal RNA (514 nucleotides) under Melanoscirtes taitensis. RNAcentral describes it as "partial 16S ribosomal RNA". It matches the Rfam family "Bacterial large subunit ribosomal RNA", at positions 1815 to 2599 of the family's 2925-position model. Lineage: Eukaryota; Metazoa; Arthropoda; Insecta; Orthoptera; Tettigoniidae. The record is from RNAcentral.